Molecule: small nucleolar RNA, 93 nt
Filed under: Gossypium hirsutum (cotton)
Lineage: Eukaryota; Viridiplantae; Streptophyta; Magnoliopsida; Malvales; Malvaceae
Description: Small nucleolar RNA U31b
Rfam family: Small nucleolar RNA U31b
Source: Rfam by way of RNAcentral
GAACAUGAUGACAGUUAUUGUCGCCCCAGUCUUACUUUGCAUAUAAUAAUGUCUUCAUAUGCAAAAUUGGUGAUUGACUUUUUUAUCUGAUUU